GAACGCUGGCGGCAGGCUUAAUACAUGCAAGUCGAACGGUAACAGCAGGAAGCUUGCUUCCUGGCUGACGAGUGGCGGACGGGUGAGUAAUACCUGGGGAGCUGCCUGAAUGAGGGGGGCAACACCUGGAAACGGGUGCUAAUACCGCGUAAGCCCUGAGGGGGAAAGGCUGGGCAACCAGUCGCAUUCAGAUGCGCCCAGGUGGGAUUAGCUAGUUGGUGGGGUAACGGCCUACCAAGGCGACGAUCUCUAGCUGGUCUGAGAGGAUGAUCAGCCACACUGGAACUGAGACACGGUCCAGACUCCUACGGGAGGCAGCAGUAGGGAAUAUUGCACAAUGGGGGAAACCCUGAUGCAGCCAUGCCGCGUGUGUGAAGAAGGCCUUUGGGUUGUAAAGCCACUUUCAGUAUGGAGGAAGUGCAGUAUGUUAACAGCAUGCUGCAUUGACGUUACAUACAGAAGAAGCACCGGCUAACUCCGUGCCAGCCGCUGC
This 493-nucleotide ribosomal RNA is filed under the name uncultured bacterium. RNAcentral's name for it is "bacterial SSU rRNA". It matches the Rfam family "Bacterial small subunit ribosomal RNA", at positions 31 to 518 of the family's 1533-position model. The record is from RNAcentral.